AGGUGUUAUCAGUUACCCAGUGAGUUGAAGUCGAGUCAUAAUAAGCAAGGAUUUCAACGUCACCGAGGAAUGCUGCUGGAAAUCAUCACUCAUCGGAUAAGGUGACUCUCCAACGAGAUAGCCUACGUUUCAGAACUUGGCAGACGGAAAUGCGGGUAGUGAUUCGGAGAAAGCUGUGCCAGGAGUUUCAGAUAAGUCAACAGACUAUACCGCAUCAUCUUCAUAAUCACUUUCAAUAAGCAAUUUAAGUGAUUUCAAAGAAAACCAUAUAUAUAUGGAAAAGAAAAAGACUGUAAAUCAAUUAAAAAAAAAGAUUCUAAACAAACGCGAACCAGAAAAGAAACGACGAAAAGAAAAAUAAUUGCACGGAUUGGUAUAUCUUGCGAGAAGUUUAUUGUAAAGCUGUAAGACAUCUCUGUAUAAUUCAUAAAGAUGAACCGGCAGUGAGCAUAAUCUUGUUUCUCCUCAACAACUUAACCUAGUGAGCAUAUCCACAUUCGUAUACAUACUUGGCAUACAUUUUUACUAUUUAAUUAUAAAUUCAAAAUAACAAUCAUGUUUUUGUUUUCCGAGUUGGUGCAAAAAUUUUAAAUAAAUUGUGCAAAGAUUCUAAAUUGAUAUUGAGGUUCAAUAAUUUCAUUUUGAUCGCUUGUAUAGUUGACUGUAUAAUCAAUCACUGCUAUAAUUAGGCGCCCUGAUAGGUAGACAUUUGAGUUAUAUUUGGUGUAAUGUUUCUCAUUUUAGUUGACAUGGCAAAAUUUCGUUUCGCAUUUAUAGGCCCCACUGAAAACGUCACUUUAUU
Styela clava is the source of this 802-nucleotide non-coding RNA. NCBI's taxonomy places the organism in Eukaryota, Metazoa, Chordata, Ascidiacea, Stolidobranchia, Styelidae. The record is from RefSeq and is a predicted model, not a curated record.